Molecule: ribosomal RNA, 439 nt
Filed under: uncultured bacterium
Lineage: Bacteria
Description: partial 16S ribosomal RNA
Rfam family: Bacterial small subunit ribosomal RNA
Source: RNAcentral
CUACGGGGGGCAGCAGUGGGGAAUAUUGCACAAUGGAGGAAACUCUGAUGCAGCAACGCCGCGUGGAGGAUGACACUUUUCGGAGCGUAAACUCCUUUUAUAUAGGAAGAAGAUGACGGUACUAUAUGAAUAAGCGCCGGCUAACUCCGUGCCAGCAGCCGCGGUAGUACGGAGGGCGCAAGCGUUACUCGGAAUCACUGGGCGUAAAGAGCGUGUAGGCGGAUUAAAAAGUCAGAAGUGAAAUCCUAUAGCUUAACUAUAGAACUGCUUCUGAAACUCUUAAUCUAGAAUGUGGGAGAGGUAGAUGGAAUUUCUGGUGUAGGGGUAAAAUCCGUAGAGAUCAGAAGGAAUACCGAUUGCGAAGGCGAUCUACUAGAACAUUAUUGACGCUGAGACGCGAAGGCGUGGGGAGCAAACAGGAUUAGAUACCCCCGUAGUC